CGUCGAGUGCAGCCGCUUGCACCAGUGAGCUGGUCCAGCGAUAAUUGGGCCGCACUCUCAACGGGCCUCCGAUUGGCCCAUGAUGACAGAGCACGAAAGCAGAGCAGCGCGUGCAGUGUGACCCUCUCUGACUGCCCAGGUUAUCUUCUGAACUCCCCACCAUAGCAGCCUCCCUUCUCCCGUCGCUGCUUUCUCUCAAGGUCACUUCAUCGGCUUCCGGCCCACGAGAACAAACCGAACGGAAACAGGAAUUGAGGUGAGCAGAAGUUGAGGGUGGUGGUGAAGCCGCCGGAGAUACCAAAGCUAGUGCUGCUGCGGUUCACAUGAACGGAGAAGCACACGGAGCUCGCGCCGGAACGGGUGAUCCCGGGCGGCCAAGGUGCCAUUCCCACUGAUCCCCUACUACUUCUGGCGCCGCAGGGACCCGAGGAAGGAGCUCAAAGUCCAAGAUCACCGAUCGACAGUCAACCUCUGGCAGUAGAGAGGCAGCAACAUGUAGAUCCCUCUUCCUCUCGUCCCAUACCUUCAAGAAUCUUCAGUUCGAUGCAAAAAAAUCUCGAACUUGUCACCGUAGAAGUGUUUCUCUAUAAAAGGAGGACUUCAAAUUGACUUUUGUCCAAAUGUGCUCUUGCUUCAGAAAAGAUUCUUGCACUAGAUUUGUAGUGUAUGAGAUAUGGGUUUGUACUGCCUUCAACACCAAUUUGGGCUUACAUAUUAAUCUCCAUGGUUCUCUA
Molecule: long non-coding RNA, 734 nt
Organism: Musa acuminata AAA Group (dessert banana)
Lineage: Eukaryota; Viridiplantae; Streptophyta; Magnoliopsida; Zingiberales; Musaceae
Exons: 2
Source: RefSeq, a predicted model, not a curated record